Molecule: unclassified non-coding RNA, 329 nt
Filed under: soil metagenome
Description: partial contains 5.8S ribosomal RNA, internal transcribed spacer 2, and large subunit ribosomal RNA
Rfam family: 5.8S ribosomal RNA (bases 1-120)
Source: RNAcentral
GAUGAAGAACGUAGCGAAAUGCGAUAAGUAAUGUGAAUUGCAGAAUUCAGUGAAUCAUCGAAUCUUUGAACGCACAUUGCGCCCCCUGGUAUUCCGGGGGGCAUGCCUGUCCGAGCGUCAUUACAACCCUCAAGCUCAGCUUGGUGUUGGGCCCCGCCGCCCCGGCGGGCCCUAAAGUCAGUGGCGGUGCCAUCCGGCUCCGAGCGUAGUAAUUCUUCUCGCUCUGGAGGUCCGGUUGUGUGCUUGCCAUCAACCCCCAAUUUUUUUCAGGUUGACCUCGGAUCAGGUAGGGAUACCCGCUGAACUUAAGCAUAUCAAUAAGCGGAGGA